CUACAUGAAGCUGGAAUCGCUAGUAAUCGCGAAUCAGAAUGUCGCGGUGAAUACGUUCCCGGGUCUUGUACACACCGCCCGUCACACCAUGGGAGUCGGAAAUGCCCGAAGUCAGUGACCUAACCGAAAGGGAGGAGCUGCCGAAGGUGGAGCCGGUAACUGGGGUGAAGUCGUAACAAGGUACC
This 185-nucleotide ribosomal RNA is filed under the name uncultured bacterium. RNAcentral describes it as "partial 16S ribosomal RNA". It matches the Rfam family "Bacterial small subunit ribosomal RNA", at positions 1316 to 1500 of the family's 1533-position model. The record is from RNAcentral.